UGGGGAAUUUUGCGCAAUGGGCGAGAGCCUGACGCAGCAACGCCGCGUGGGUGAUGAAGGUCUUCGGAUCGUAAAACCCUGUCGUCAGGGACGAAGGUCACGAGUUUAAGAGAUGCGUGACUUGACGGUACCUGGAGAGGAAGCCCCGGCUAACUCUGUGCCAGCAGCCGAGGUGAUACAGAGGGGGCAAGCGUUAUUCGGAAUUAUUGGGCGGAAAGGGUGCGUAGGCGGUGGCUUAAGUGAGACGUGUAAUCCCCGAGCUUAACUUGGGAACUGCAUCUCAGACUGGGGCGCUAGAGUACUGGAGAGGGUGGUAGAAUUCCACGUGUAGCGGUGAAAUGCGUAGAGAUGUGGAGGAAUACCAGUGGCGAAGGCGGCCACCUGGACAGUAACUGACGCUGAGGCGCGAAAGUGUGGGGAGCAAACA
Molecule: ribosomal RNA, 427 nt
Filed under: uncultured prokaryote
Description: bacterial SSU rRNA
Rfam family: Bacterial small subunit ribosomal RNA
Source: RNAcentral